GACGAACGCUGGCGGCGUGCUUAACACAUGCAGGUCGAACGGAAAGGCCCUGCUUUUGUGGGGUGCUCGAGUGGCGAACGGGUGAGUAACACGUGAGUAACCUGCCCUUGACUUUGGGAUAACUUCAGGAAACUGGGGCUAAUACCGGAUAGGAGCUCCUGCUGCAUGGUGGGGGUUGGAAAGUUUCGGCGGUGGGGGAUGGACUCGCGGCUUAUCCGCUUGUUGGUGGGGUAGUGGCUUACCAAGGUUUUGACGGGUAGGCGGCCUGAGAGGGUGACCGGGCACAAUGGGACUGAGAUACGGCCCAGAAUCCUACGGGAGGCAGCAGUGGGGAAUAUUGCACAAUGGGCGGAAGCCUGAUGCAGCAACGCCGCGUGCGGGAUGACGGCCUUCGGGUGGUAAACCGAUUUCGCCUGUGACGAAGCGUGAGUGACGGUAAUGGGUAAAGAAGCACCGGCUAACUACGUG
This 468-nucleotide ribosomal RNA is filed under the name uncultured bacterium. RNAcentral's name for it is "partial 16S ribosomal RNA". It matches the Rfam family "Bacterial small subunit ribosomal RNA", at positions 28 to 507 of the family's 1533-position model. The record is from RNAcentral.